This is a long non-coding RNA of Suricata suricatta (meerkat), 370 nucleotides long. RefSeq lists it as uncharacterized. The transcript is spliced from 2 exons. Lineage: Eukaryota; Metazoa; Chordata; Mammalia; Carnivora; Herpestidae. The record is from RefSeq and is a predicted model, not a curated record.
AAUUACAUCUUUGUCACGAAAUAAGGCAUUUAAAGGUGUCCCCCAGCCCAGCGGGUAACGGAUUGAGGUCAUGAGGCUCAGUCACAAAUGCCCACGGGAGCUGGAUUUUCAGUAUCCAGGAGGUGUGCCAACCUGUUGAAUUUCUACCCCGUGAGCCUGGGAAUCUGCUAGCAGUAUCCCCAAAGUCCCCUCUCACCCAUUUCUAGUCUCGCACCCCUGAUUCCCCUUUGCGGUGAAAAAGGGAAAAUCAUAGUCUCGUGUAUAUGAAUUAAAUCUUACAUAGCAGUAUCUCUGUCUUGCAGUGAUCACCUGAUCUUCCAGAAAAUGUAAAGGUUUCAACGUCUUGCUUCAAUAAAUCAUCUGCCCUGCA